Molecule: non-coding RNA, 923 nt
Filed under: Scinax sp. KAV12
Lineage: Eukaryota; Metazoa; Chordata; Amphibia; Anura; Hylidae
Description: partial 12S small subunit ribosomal RNA
Rfam family: Bacterial small subunit ribosomal RNA
Source: RNAcentral
UGGUCCUAGCCUUAUAAUCAAUUCUUACUUAACUUACACAUGCAAGUCUCCGCACCCCUGUGAAAACGCCCUCAAAUCCCUUCAGGGAUCAGGAGCUGGUAUCAGGCUCGAUUUUCAGCCCACGACACCUAGCCAUGCCACACCCACAAGGGUACUCAGCAGUGAUCAACAUUGACCAUAAGCGCAAGCUUGACUCAGUCAAAGUAAAUAGGGCCGGCAAAUCUGGUGCCAGCCGCCGCGGCCACACCACGGGCCCAAAUUGAUUAAUUUCGGCGUAAAGCGUGAUUAAAGUACUCUAAAACUGCAGUUAAACUGGGCCUAAACUGUAAAACCCUUGGACCCAAGAAACACAAGAACGAAAGUCACUGUAAAACGACCCACUUGACCUCACGACAGUUGGAACACAAACUGGGAUUAGAUACCCCACUAUGCCCAACCGUAAACUUUAACUUACACUCAAAUCGCCAGGGAACUACGAGCAAUGCUUAAAACCCAAAGGACUUGACGGUGCCCCAUUCCACCUAGAGGAGCCUGUCCUAUAAUCGAUAACCCCCGUUUAACCUCACCAUUCUUUGUCACCCCAGUCUGUAUACCUCCGUCGUCAGUUUACCACGUGAGCGCCCCUCAGUAAGCAUAAAGGCUAAUUCGCCAAAACGUCAGGUCAAGGUGCAGCUUAUAGAAUGGGAAGAGAUGGGCUACACUCUCUAAUAUAGAAAAUACGGAAAACUGUCUAUGAAACUUCAGUUAGAAGGCGGAUUUAGCAGUAAAAUGAGACAAAAGUGCUCAUUUAAAUACGGCCCUGGGGUGUGUACACACCGCCCGUCACCCUCUUCGAAACUAAAAAAAUAGUUUUUAACACCCUAUAAACUUAAAGAAGAGGCAAGUCGUAACAUGGUAAGCUUACCGGAAGGUGUGCUUGGAAA